RNAcentral lists this small RNA (926 nucleotides) under uncultured Rubrobacterales bacterium. Its description in RNAcentral is "bacterial SSU rRNA". The stretch from base 1 to 469 matches the Rfam family "Bacterial small subunit ribosomal RNA", at positions 1064 to 1533 of the family's 1533-position model. Lineage: Bacteria; Bacillati; Actinomycetota; Rubrobacteria; Rubrobacterales. The record is from RNAcentral.
GUCGUGAGAUGUUGGGUUAAGUCCCGCAACGAGCGCAACCCUUGUCAUUAGUUGCUACAUUUAGUUGGGCACUCUAAUGAGACUGCCGGUGACAAACCGGAGGAAGGCGGGGAUGACGUCAAGUCAUCAUGCCCCUUAUGUUCAGGGCUACACACGUGCUACAUUGGCGCGUACAGAGGGCUGCGAUACCGCGAGGUGGAGCGAAUCCCUUAAAGCGCGUCUCGGUUCGGAUUGAAGGCUGAAACUCGCCUUCAUGAAGGCGGAGUUGCUAGUAAUCGCGGAUCAGCAUUGCCGCGGUGAAUACGUUCCCGGGCCUUGUACACACCGCCCGUCACACCACGGGAGUGAGCAACACCCGAAGCCGGUGGCCCAACCCUUUGGGAGGGAGCCGUCGAAGGUGGGGCUCGUGACUGGGGUGAAGUCGUAACAAGGUAGCCGUAGCGGAAGCUGCGGCUGGAUCACCUCCUUUCUAGGGAGUGCCUUCGGGCACCCGCGGGGCUUCGGGCCUCGCGGCCUAGCAUGUCGACCGGUCCUGGACGCCCGCGCUCUUCGGAGCUCGGGUUGCAUGCUGCUGAGUUUUGAGAGACCGACCGCUUCCGGUCCGCGUCCGCGCCCCCGUGUGCGGACGCCGGCCGUUGAAGGUCGAGCCCUUCUCGGCGGUCCUUGAAAACUGCACAGGUGUCACACACACGGCAACUCGCGCUCUUGGGUGCGCGUUGCCGUAGCAACGGGUUCACCGAGCCGCGUAGCUGCGUCGACUUCGUCGACGAGCCGGCGUUCACACGCCGGCGCUGUUACGCGGCUUUGAUCACCGUCAAGAUAGUAAGGGCAUGUGGUGGAUGCCUUGGCACCUAGAGUCGAUGAAGGGCGUGGACGGCUGCGAUAAGCCACGGUGAGGCGCUGAACAGCCUUUGACCCGUGGAUGC